Molecule: ribosomal RNA, 497 nt
Filed under: uncultured bacterium
Lineage: Bacteria
Description: partial 16S ribosomal RNA
Rfam family: Bacterial small subunit ribosomal RNA
Source: RNAcentral
GAUGAACGCUGGCGGCGUGCCUAAUACAUGCAAGUCGAGCGAACGGACGAGAAGCUUGCUUCUCUGAUGUUAGCGGCGGACGGGUGAGUAACACGUGGAUAACCUACCUAUAAGACUGGGAUAACUUCGGGAAACCGGAGCUAAUACCGGAUAAUAUUAUGAACCGCAUGGUUCAAAAGUGAAAGACGGUCUUGCUGUCACUUAUAGAUGGAUCCGCGCUGCAUUAGCUAGUUGGUAAGGUAACGGCUUACCAAGGCAACGAUGCAUAGCCGACCUGAGAGGGUGAUCGGCCACACUGGAACUGAGACACGGUCCAGACUCCUACGGGAGGCAGCAGUAGGGAAUCUUCCGCAAUGGGCGAAAGCCUGACGGAGCAACGCCGCGUGAGUGAUGAAGGUCUUCGGAUCGUAAAACUCUGUUAUUAGGGAAGAACAGAUGUGUAAGUAACUGUGCACAUCUUGACGGUACCUAAUCAGAAAGCCACGGCUAACUACGUG